AGAACGAACGUUGGCGGCGUGGAUUAGGCAUGCAAGUCGAACGAAUCCCAGGUAGCAAUACUUGGGGGAAGUGGCGAAAGGGGCAGUAAUGCCUGGAUAAUCUACCCUGGGGAUGGGCAUAGCCGUUCUAACGAGCGGGUAAUACCCAGCGAUUCGGCGGAGGGGCAUCCCUUGCCGGGAAAUGAGUUUCGCCUCGGGAGAGUCCAGGUGCUAUUAGCUAGUUGGCGGGUAACGGCCCACAAGGCUGAGAUGGCUAGCGGGUGUGAGAGCACGACCCGCGCCACUGGCACUGGUGACACUGG
Molecule: ribosomal RNA, 302 nt
Filed under: uncultured soil bacterium
Lineage: Bacteria
Description: bacterial SSU rRNA
Rfam family: Bacterial small subunit ribosomal RNA
Source: RNAcentral